This 491-nucleotide ribosomal RNA is filed under the name uncultured bacterium. RNAcentral describes it as "partial 16S ribosomal RNA". It matches the Rfam family "Bacterial small subunit ribosomal RNA", at positions 28 to 507 of the family's 1533-position model. The record is from RNAcentral.
GAUGAACGCUGGCUACAGGCUUAACACAUGCAAGUCGAGGGGAAACGACGGGGAAGCUUGCUUCCCCGGGCGUCGACCGGCGCACGGGUGAGUAACGCGUAUCCAACCUGCCUCUGACUGAGGGAUAACCCGUCGAAAGUCGGCCUAAUACCUCAUGGUAUCGUCUGCGGGCAUCCAACGACGAUUAAAGAUUUCAUCGGUCAGGGAUGGGGAUGCGUCUGAUUAGCUUGUUGGCGGGGUAACGGCCCACCAAGGCUACGAUCAGUAGGGGUUCUGAGAGGAAGGUCCCCCACAUUGGAACUGAGACACGGUCCAAACUCCUACGGGAGGCAGCAGUGAGGAAUAUUGGUCAAUGGGCGAGAGCCUGAACCAGCCAAGUAGCGUGCAGGAAGACGGCCCUAGGGGUUGUAAACUGCUUUUAGGCGGGGAUAAAGUGAGGGACGGGUCCCUCAUUGCAGGUACCGCAUGAAUAAGGACCGGCUAAUUCCGUG